AUGCAAGUCGAGGGGUAUAGGUUUUCGGACCUAGAGACCGGCGCACGGGUGCGUAACGCGUAUGCAAUCUACCUUUCACAGAGGGAUAGCCCAGAGAAAUUUGGAUUAAUACCUCAUAGUAUUAUAUAGUGGCAUCACUUUAUAAUUAAAGUCACAACGGUGAAAGAUGAGCAUGCGUCCCAUUAGCUAGUUGGUAAGGUAACGGCUUACCAAGGCGACGAUGGGUAGGGGUCCUGAGAGGGAGAUCCCCCACACUGGUACUGAGACACGGACCAGACUCCUACGGGAGGCAGCAGUGAGGAAUAUUGGACAAUGGGCGCAAGCCUGAUCCAGCCAUGCCGCGUGCAGGAUGACGGUCCUAUGGAUUGUAAACUGCUUUUGCACAGGAAGAAACAACAUUACGUGUAAUGUCUUGACGGUACUGUGAGAAUAAGGAUCGGCUAACUCCGUGCCAGCAGCCGCGGUAAUACGGAGGAUCCAAGCGUUAUCCGGAAUCAUUGGGUUUAAAGGGUCCGUAGGCGGUUUAGUAAGUCAGUGGUGAAAGCCCAUCGCUCAACGGUGGAACGGCCAUUGAUACUGCUAAACUUGAAUUAUUAGGAAGUAACUAGAAUAUGUANUGUANCGGUGAAAUGCUUANAGAUUACAUGGAAU
Molecule: ribosomal RNA, 651 nt
Filed under: Flavobacterium sp. STEP_aq_286
Lineage: Bacteria; Pseudomonadati; Bacteroidota; Flavobacteriia; Flavobacteriales; Flavobacteriaceae
Description: bacterial SSU rRNA
Rfam family: Bacterial small subunit ribosomal RNA
Source: RNAcentral